Molecule: long non-coding RNA, 337 nt
Filed under: Serinus canaria (Common canary)
Lineage: Eukaryota; Metazoa; Chordata; Aves; Passeriformes; Fringillidae
Description: lncRNA (ENSSCAG00000014075.1)
Source: RNAcentral
AGCAGAAGUUCUAAAGAGAUCAUGGUAAAGCUCAUGCUUUCACCUCUCAGAUUCAAGCUGAUUAAAGGGUUUGAGGAAAAGUACCAUGGGCAAUAAAGAACAAUGAAGAUCAUUUAGAUGAGCUGAAGCACUACUGGUCUUCUGAUGAAAUUUUUGAAAUUUGGGAUGAGUGGCAAAUUUUUCAGCGAAUCCAAGGGAACCAGAAUAGGGAUGGUCAGCUUAGCAAGAGAAACCAAGGCACCAGUGAGGAAGAGAUGAUUUCAGAGCUAACUAAGAGUUAACUGGCUACGUUUCAACUGUCACCAUUGUCUUAAAUCUGCAUGGAGAGUGGAGAGAC